Lolium perenne is the source of this 232-nucleotide non-coding RNA. The record is from RefSeq and is a predicted model, not a curated record. NCBI's taxonomy places the organism in Eukaryota, Viridiplantae, Streptophyta, Magnoliopsida, Poales, Poaceae.
CGACGGCCGCUCCGCCCGGGCUCGCGCCCUAGGUUUUGCAGUGGCCGCCGCGCCCUCCUACUCAUCGGGGCAUGGCGCUUGCCCAGAUGGCCGGGUGUGGGUCGCGCGCUUCAGCGCCAUCCAUUUUCGGGGCUAGUUGAUUCGGCAGGUGAGUUGUUACACACUCCUUAGCGGAUUUCGACUUCCAUGACCACCGUCCUGCUGUCUUAAUCGACCAACACCCUUUGUGGGU